Molecule: long non-coding RNA, 3669 nt
Filed under: Heterocephalus glaber (naked mole-rat)
Lineage: Eukaryota; Metazoa; Chordata; Mammalia; Rodentia; Bathyergidae
Description: lncRNA (ENSHGLG00000040697.1)
Source: RNAcentral
GAGGAGGAGGGGGAGGGGGAGGAGCGCACCCAGCAGUGGGCUUGCAUCACAACCAGGCUUCUGGUUCAUGUGUGGGGAGACAAACACAAAGACUCCUCUUGGCCCCAGUCUCCUGGGCUUUCUCCAGGCAACCCUGGGAUUCCGGAGUUUUGGGGGCAGGACCUAGUAGGGGACAGGAAGUGGGGGGAUCUUGAUCUGCUCACUUGCACCAGCCCUGGGCCAAGGACCUCUUUGGACAGUUUGGCUCAAAUGUAGAAAGAAGCCAGUCUGGAUAAGAUGGCCCGUCCUCUCCUCCAAGGCUACUGCCCCUGCAUUUUGCAUCAUCUGCUGAUGUAGUCACUAAACCACACUAGGUGCCAUGCCCUUUGCUGGGCAUUUGGUGGGCAAUAUAGACCCUGUGUCUUCCCUUAUGAAUCUUAUGUCUGAGAAAGAGACAGACAUGAGCAAAAUCCAUGAAUAAGCAAAGAGCUGCAUCUGUAAGGCUAUGAAGUGGCUCCAGUCUAGUCCUGGGGACUCUGGACAGGUUGAUGGCUGAGUGGAGAUGACUUAGGGGAGUGGUAGGGCAGGGCAGGGAGAUGAACUAGCUGGCUGGUUCCGAAUGCGCAAAGGCCCUGGGGCAGGAGGAGCCCAGCAGGUUCUAAACACUGGAGGAAUCGUGAGACAGCCAGUGUGACUGCAGCUCACAGAGCAAAGGCUGGCAGGCCAGAGAGGCCAAAUGAGAGGAUUCAUUCUCUAUCCUUCCUGCUCUGGACCCCCGGGGAGGUCAUAGUCAGGUCUGCACUGGGGGAGCCCACAGUGCUGCCUGAAAGGAGGAAGUGCUGCAGGGGAUGGAGGAGCAGCAGAGAGGCUCCUGGGGUAGCCCAGGUGACUAUUCUUGGACCAGACUAAUAGGAGUGGAAGAGGUGGGGAGGGACAGGCUCAAAGGCCCUGGGGAAGAGAAUUCGCAGAGCACCCUGAGUCUGUGCAUCUCUAGUUGAUGCAAUUAGGGCACAGCUUCUGCCCGCCUCCGGGGGACCAGCCUGGGGACCUGGGACCCACAGCGCCUGCCCUCAGAGCGGGGAGCUGGAAGUGUCUUUCGGCUGAAGUAGCCCUGGCUGUGGAGUUUUCGCAGGUUCCUUCAUCUCUCUGAUCCUCUUUUCCCUAAUCUGUGAAGUGGGGACCGAGAAGCCCAUCUUGCAGUUCUGGGUCCUGCUCAGUAAAGUGGAAGCUUCCAGAGACGCCCAGGUGUUGAAACGGCUUUGCAGGGGGGCUUUGCAGCUGCACCCGGGCUGGGCAGGUGACAGGGCCCCAUGCAGAAUCCGAAUGUCAGGGAAGACCACACCGCGCCUGGAAGCCCAACACAGCCGAGAGAGAAACAGACAAUCAAGGCAUUGAAAAAGUGGAGGAGAAGCCUGGAAAAACUGGCUGGGGCCAAUGUCUAGAGGUAUGGGACUCCGGAUUCUCAUUCUGAAGGCCACAGGGAGCCAGUAACAGCUCUUGAGCAGGGCAUGGUUUGAUCCUUUUGCCAAGGAUUUGUCACCUUGGAGACAGCAGACGGACUCAGGUAAAAAUCUGGGGCUCUGCGGGGAGGGGAAGGUGGUGGGAUUUGCAGUUCUGGGAUUGACAAGAAAACAGGACAUGAGGCCAGGUAAAUAGGUAGACCAGAUGGCCCCUCCAAAGUUCACGUUCUGUCUCUCCUGCAAUCCAGUGUUCUAGUUUCCAGGUAGGAAUUUCGUGGCAUAGGCGAAGCCACUGAGGCACAGAAAAGGCCAAUCACCGCCCCAGGUCACGCAGCUAGGGUUGAGGCCUUGGAUGUAAGAUCCCUGCUGCACUCAUUUCAAGACUCCGGGUAGCAUGGGCUCCAGCUGCCUGGCCAGGCCUGCAGAUGGGGAUGAGGGCCAGCUGAUGGGGGACAGUCUUCUGGAGCCCCUCUCUGUAGAGCCAUGUGGCCCGAGGGGGAAGGGAGCCUGGUGGGCAGGGAGGAGCUGCCACAUGGAAGAGGCUUGAUGGGAACCAUCUGGCCUGUGCUGGGAGUGUGGGCUGCAGGAGGAGGGCGGGGCAGGAGGUGGGCAGGAGGCCAUGGUGGGCUGGGCCGGCCCGCUGGUGGAUGGCGGCCGGGGCUGGGAGCGGUGGCCCAGAGGCCCCUGCCUUCCAGACGGCUGUAGCCCAGAUGCCUUUGCAGCCGGCCUGGCCCCGUCCAACCCGCUGACCUCAUUCCCAGCGCCUCCUCCCUCCUCGCAGGCUCCUCGCCUGCCUGCCACGUAGACUCGGCCACAGGGGGAAGGAGAGUGGGACCCAGGUGCCCUGAGCCCAGAGCCCUGCCAGGACCUACAGAGCUGUGGGCAGCCGCUGUGACCACUUGGGGCCUCAGUUUCCUCUCCCCAAACAUGAGGUCCGGUAAAUGAGGGGGACUGGGGUGAUGGGAGAAGCCAGAUGAGAAGCAGGGUGGAGUGAGGAGCGGGGAACCAAGGGGGCUUCCUGGACUCGUGAGAGCCUUCCCCGCCUUCUGGGCUCCCGGGUGCUGUCCUCACAUCUCAGCAUCGCACUGGCUGUUGGGUGCAGAGAGCAGCACGCUGUCCCCUGUCGGGCUCCUCAGAGCCCCCCAUCCUGCCCCCCGGCCCGGCGUAUCUGCCUCCCUGCCCCCCAGGUCCUGGUGUUACUGUCCUGAGGAGCUGGGGCUGUCCCUGCCGUCUGCCCAGGCGUUCCCGGCCGAGGAGGAGAGAGAGACACAGAGAGAGAGGUGGAGCCAGUUUCCUGGAGUCACAGAGCUGGGAAGUAGCUGCACUGAGAUGAAAACCCAGAAAGUCUCAUGCUUCACUCAGAGACCCAGGACGGAUGCCAAGUGGACCACCCCACCCCACUGCAGAAGUGGCUGUUUGCAGGAAUGCGCUGUCUCCUCUUGGGCUCAUGCACGGGAAGGACCACAGCAUAACGUGGCUGAAACUGACCACAGGCACUAGCCGAGUGGCCAGUCCCAGCUACCCCGCCCUGCCUCCCGUCUGCCCAGGGGCUACUGUGAGCUGACCACACCACGACACACACAGCAUCUCAUUUAUUUCAUUAAAAAAAAACUCUCCCUCCAUUUAUUUUCCUUUUCUUUUUUCUCUAUUUUUCAUUAGUGUAUAUUUGUGACAUAAGAAAUGCAUUCAUCAUGGGGAAUCGGCACCUAUACAAACUCUGGUCUUAAUCCUUUUUACUCCCUUUCUCUCCCCACUCUCCUAUCUCCACCACCCUCAGACUCCCCCUCCCCUCCUUUGCUUUGAUUUAUUGAUCCUUUGUAUUGGGUUUUUUGGUACCGGGGAUCGAACUCGGGUCCUUGUGCUUGAGCAGCAGGCAACGAAACCACUAAGCUAAAUCCCAGGCCCUGUAUUGGUUUUUAAUCUCAAUUCAUUAAUUUCCAUUCUGAUCAUUACAAUCUCUUUCCUUCUAUUAGUUUCAGAGUUGGGUUGCUCUUGUCUUUCUAGGACCUUAAGAUGCAUCCUCAGAUUAUUUAUUUGGGAUCACUCUAUUAGGCCCUAACCUUCCCUCUCAGAACUGCUUUCAUUGAGUUCCACAGGUCUUGAUAUGUUGUGCUUUCAUUGUCCUUUGAUUCUAGGAACUUGUAAAUGUCUUCUGUGAUCCGUGGAUUAUUCAAUAGCAUAUUCUUUAAUCUCCCUGUAUUUGAGUAAAAUAGUUUCUGUGGCUUCUUUU